RNAcentral lists this long non-coding RNA (550 nucleotides) under Ananas comosus (pineapple). Its description in RNAcentral is "long non-coding RNA (ACOM_LNC006130)". The record is from RNAcentral. Lineage: Eukaryota; Viridiplantae; Streptophyta; Magnoliopsida; Poales; Bromeliaceae.
AUAGUAUAUUAAUUAUUAUAUAUUUAUUAUACAGUCGAAUUUUUUAUUCCGAAUUUUUAAUUGGUGAACGUAUAAUAUCCGUAUAAAUCACGUAUCCGAAUAAUUACCGAAUUCGUUUUUUAGCCGUAUUUUUCAACAAAUUUAAAAAUUAAGAGACGAAUUUUAUUCGAAUUAUAUCCGUACCGAAUUUUUGCCGAAUCCGAAUUAACUAACUAUGAGUGGCGUAAAGCCGGAUGGAUCGAGUCACAAUCGAAAUUCGUGGGCGCUGUAUCUGUACACUUUAAGUGAAUUGGUUGCAUAUUUCUAAUAGCUCGAGCUUUUGGGAUUAAUGGUUAGCGCCAAUGAUCAGACAAGUGGUAUUAGAGCCAAUGGUCACGGAUUCGAUUUCCGCAUGCUGCAAAUGUGUGCAGGUGCUGAAGACGGGAUUGUUGGCUUAAAUGAACCAGCAUUCUGUCCUGUGACGGAAGGCCAUGUGUAGGCCGAAUCAUAUUCGAAGUGGCGUAAGACCGAAUGGGCCGAGUCACAAUCGAGACUCAUGGGCGCUGUAUCU